Camelina sativa (false flax) is the source of this 132-nucleotide non-coding RNA. Lineage: Eukaryota; Viridiplantae; Streptophyta; Magnoliopsida; Brassicales; Brassicaceae. The record is from RefSeq and is a predicted model, not a curated record.
GCUGCUAUGUUUUCUGAUCCUAACAUGGCCAUGGAUAUGAUGAAGAAGAACCUUUCCAUGAUUAUUCCUCAGACUCUCACUUUUGCAUGGGUCAACUUUUUCUUCUCUGGAUUUGUCGCAGCCAAAAUACCG